Molecule: ribosomal RNA, 253 nt
Filed under: uncultured bacterium
Lineage: Bacteria
Description: partial 16S ribosomal RNA
Rfam family: Bacterial small subunit ribosomal RNA
Source: RNAcentral
UACGUAGGGGGCAAGCGUUGUCCGGAAUCAUUGGGCGUAAAGCGCGUGUAGGCGGCUUCGUAAGUCCGUUGUGAAAGUCCAGGGCUCAACCCUGGAAUGCCGAUGGAUACUGCGGAGCUAGAGUCCGGAAGAGGCGAGUGGAAUUCCCGGUGUAGCGGUGAAAUGCGCAGAUAUCGGGAGGAACACCAAUGGCGAAGGCAGCUCGCUGGGACGGUACUGACGCUGAGACGCGAAAGCGUGGGGAGCAAACAGG